RNAcentral lists this ribosomal RNA (409 nucleotides) under uncultured bacterium. RNAcentral's name for it is "bacterial SSU rRNA". It matches the Rfam family "Bacterial small subunit ribosomal RNA", at positions 97 to 520 of the family's 1533-position model. The record is from RNAcentral.
GGCGAACGGGUGAGUAACACGUGAGUAACCUGCCCUGGACUUUGGGAUAACCCUCGGAAACGGGGGCUAAUACCGAAUACGACACGAGACUGCAUGGUCUUCGUGUGGAAAGUUUUUCGGUCUGGGAUGGGCUCGCGGCCUAUCAGCUUGUUGGUGGGGUGAUGGCCUACCAAGGCGACGACGGGUAGCCGGCCUGAGAGGGCGACCGGCCACACUGGGACUGAGACACGGCCCAGACUCCUACGGGAGGCAGCAGUGGGGAAUAUUGCACAAUGGGCGGAAGCCUGAUGCAGCGACGCCGCGUGAGGGAUGACGGCCUUCGGGUUGUAAACCUCUUUCAGCAGGGACGAAGCGAGAGUGACGGUACCUGCAGAAGAAGCGCCGGNCAACUACGUGCCAGCCGCCGCGG